GAACCUGUGAUGAAAUCAGUUAAAAACACACCAUCUUUCGGGACUGAAUGGUUUAAUGCCUUGUUGACAUCAUCUGCAAUUCUGAGGUUC
Argentina anserina (silverweed cinquefoil) is the source of this 90-nucleotide small nucleolar RNA. RefSeq annotates it as small nucleolar RNA SNORD96 family. The transcript has a single exon. NCBI's taxonomy places the organism in Eukaryota, Viridiplantae, Streptophyta, Magnoliopsida, Rosales, Rosaceae. The record is from RefSeq and is a predicted model, not a curated record.